UACGGGGGGGGCAAGCGUUGUUCGGAAUUACUGGGCGUAAAGGGCUCGUAGGCGGCCAACUAAGUCAGACGUGAAAUCCCUCGGCUUAACCGGGAACUGCAUCUGAUACUGGAUGGCUUGAGUUCGGGAGAGGGAUGCGGAAUUCCAGGUGUAGCGGUGAAAUGCGUAGAUAUCUGGAGGAACACCGGUGGCGAAGGCGGCAUCCUGGACCGACACUGACGCUGAGGAGCGAAAGCCAGGGGAGCAAACGGG
Molecule: ribosomal RNA, 252 nt
Filed under: uncultured bacterium
Lineage: Bacteria
Description: partial 16S ribosomal RNA
Rfam family: Bacterial small subunit ribosomal RNA
Source: RNAcentral